Dipodomys ordii (Ord's kangaroo rat) is the source of this 262-nucleotide long non-coding RNA. RefSeq lists it as uncharacterized. The record is from RefSeq and is a predicted model, not a curated record. Lineage: Eukaryota; Metazoa; Chordata; Mammalia; Rodentia; Heteromyidae. The transcript has 3 exons.
AAAAUGAGCAGAUACUUGUGAGAAGCUGUUGAGAUGUUUCUGUCACCAACUGUUGAUUGUCCAAGUAUUUUAUUAUAUUUUUCUUGGCAUAAAUUAAUUGUACAGUGGUUUCACUGUGAUAUUCAACACAUGCAUAAAAUAUACUUUGAUCAAAUUCAUCCCAUCUUCUUUCUUUCUUAACCCUUCUUUCUCCUCUACUUUUGAACAGUUUUCAGUGAGCUUCAAUGUUAUUUUCAUACAUUUGUUACAUAUCAUAUGUUUU